This is a long non-coding RNA of Talpa occidentalis (Iberian mole), 461 nucleotides long. RefSeq lists it as uncharacterized. The transcript has 5 exons. The record is from RefSeq and is a predicted model, not a curated record. NCBI's taxonomy places the organism in Eukaryota, Metazoa, Chordata, Mammalia, Eulipotyphla, Talpidae.
UUUGCUGCCUUGGAUCUUUUGCUCUGGAAAAGCCAAGUUCUAUGUCAUUUAAGUAGCCCUGUGGAGACACCCAACUUUCAGCAAGGACUGGUGUCCUGCUGUUAACAGUCAUAUGGGAGACUGGUUUGUGAAGCCAGAAAGAUGCAGACUUCAAUCCUGGACUCUUUCAUUUUCUAGUGAAGCGGGCAGUCAAAGAUGCUAACAUUUCCUCAGUCACAUUGUUUUGAAGAGAAAAUGAGGAAAGUGGAGGUCAUCAUCAUGGAGAGGCUGAGACAGCCAGUGGCAUCAAUUCACUUGGCCUCAUCAUUUGAAAGAGAUCAAUCCUCAAGAAGGAACUGUGUUGUAAGGAUGAAAUGAGGGUGAAGGGAAAGAGUCAGAGCAGCGCCUGCUCAAAGGAUGUGCUCAGUGGCAAAGAGUGAAGUUCUGUUUCACAAAAAGGGUGGUGGUGUUUGCUUGCUAUU